Molecule: long non-coding RNA, 1416 nt
Filed under: Ovis aries (sheep)
Lineage: Eukaryota; Metazoa; Chordata; Mammalia; Artiodactyla; Bovidae
Description: lncRNA (ENSOARG00000026750.1)
Source: RNAcentral
AUGACAUUGUCUGAUGAAGUGAUGCUGAAGGGGUCUUCUUGCUUUCAUCAGCUAGAAGAGGUAGCUCAUCAGCCAGAAUGUGGAACUGCAGAGUUCCUCAGAAAACUCAUCUUACAUCUAAGACUUCCACUGAAACCUACAGGGCCAGGCUUUGAAAAAAGUGAAAUGUCUUUAGAAAUCUCUGCACUGUCUUUAUUCUGGGGUUACUGCCAGUCUCUGGCAUCCAAGGCUCAGAUACCUGGGGAAACCUCCCCUUCUGAAUCACUGUGCCUUUUCUGUUAGAUGGAAGAUUCCCACAAAAUGUGCAAAGAAGCUGACUCUUGCUCUGUUGUCUUUUCUCAAAAAGAAGACCUUCCCCAGCCCUCUGUCAAGCCGUCACUGAGAAUAGGACUGGAGGAGUGGAUUUGCCAAAUGGCUGUCAGAGCUGACACGGAGGGCAGCAUCAGCAGGGAGCCCGAGUUGCUUUUGGUGAUGUGAUCUUUUCUCCUGCGCAUCCCCUCAGGUUCCCUUCGAUUGUUCUGAACCAAUGACACAGAUCUCAAGCCCGAGAAACAGUUAAGUGACUCACUAGCUGGUUCUUCUAGUAAUUAGUGAGAAUGAGUGAGAGCUUUCUUUUUAGGGAUUCCUGAACCCACUUCCAGAAGGAGGGAAUAGGUCUAUGAAGUCUGCUUCAAGCCGGUCUUACCCAGGCAGCAGUAAGUAUGAGCAGCGCUGGGAAAUAAGUUUCUCUCCUGUCUUAGCAACUUCUCAACAUAGACCCGUUGCUCUCACUGGCAAACCCAGUAAAAAGGGCUCUCAUGAGAAUGAACCAAGGAAUGGAUACGUCCACUGAUUCGAAACUUCGAAAUGAGUGCUUGACCUUGGAUAUUCAUACUGUUGAUUUAUGUAACCGUGUGCAAUAGGAAAGUUGUUGAAAAUAAUGCAACAGAAUUUUAUAGCUAUGUGGAUGUUUCAGACAGAACUCCAUCCCAGCUUUGUAUUCUCAGAUGAGAAUGGUAAGCUCUUGGUAUGUGGGUUUCACCUCCUCUACCGCAGCAGACAUUACUGGAUGAUCACAGCAUUCUUUCUGGUUGAAAUGAAACGCAGUGGGAGACUCUUUCUGAACACAGUGUUCUCAGCAGCCAGUACAAUCGAUCAGUAAUGUCAUGCAAAAUGAAACUUCAUUUGCCAUCCGUGUUCUAAGUUAAUGAGGUCUAUCUACUAUACAUGCGAGCCCGGGUGCCACCUGGGAUGGCCUCAACUAAAAUGCUCUCAUGUUUUUAAUUUCAGUUCCAGCCUCAUUUUGUUUUGGAGACACAGUCUCCUGCCCAAAGUGAAUCAACCUUCCCAUUCUUCCUUCUCAUCAGCAUUUCUUUCUAGACUCUCUUGAGUGUGGAUCAAAAGGCAGCUCUAAACCUUGUUGGGAGCAUUUCUUCC